UUUAUUGCAGUGAUGAGGAGUAGUAAUAUAAUUACUUAUUUAAAGAGAGCUACAGCUUGGUGUAAUGUAGUAAUAAGCUUAUAUGAACUUGCCUGGGAGCUUACUUGUUAAAAGCAAGUACGGAUUUAACCGUUAUAUUAUCAAGGGAGACCUUUAUGGUCUAAAUAGAGUGGUACCGCGGAAUUAUAGUUUUCGUCUCUUUC
This 203-nucleotide non-coding RNA is filed under the name Clostridium sulfidigenes. Its description in RNAcentral is "T-box sequence". It matches the Rfam family "T-box leader". From Rfam's summary of the family: Uncharged tRNA acts as the effector for transcription antitermination of genes in the T-box leader family. The record is from RNAcentral. Lineage: Bacteria; Bacillati; Bacillota; Clostridia; Eubacteriales; Clostridiaceae.